This 453-nucleotide ribosomal RNA is filed under the name Parvularculaceae bacterium. Its description in RNAcentral is "bacterial SSU rRNA". It matches the Rfam family "Bacterial small subunit ribosomal RNA", at positions 1 to 499 of the family's 1533-position model. Lineage: Bacteria; Pseudomonadati; Pseudomonadota; Alphaproteobacteria; Parvularculales; Parvularculaceae. The record is from RNAcentral.
UCAACUUGAGAGUUUGAUCCUGGCUCAGGACGAACGCUGGCGGCAGGCUUAACACAUGCAAGUCGAGCGCCCCGCAAGGGGAGCGGCAGACGGGUGAGUAACGCGUGGGAACGUGCCUUUUGGUUCGGAACAACUGAGGGAAACUUCAGCUAAUACCGGAUAAGCCCUGAGGGGGAAAGAUUUAUCGCCAAAAGAUCGGCCCGCGUCAGAUUAGGUAGUUGGGGGGGUAAAGGACUACCAAGCCGAUGAUCUGUAGGUGGGCUGAGAGGAUGAUCACCCACACUGGGACUGAGACACGGCCCAGACUCCUAAGGGAGGCAGCAGUGGGGAAUUAUCCGCAAUGGGCGCAAGCCUGACGGAGCAAUACCGCGUGAGGGAGGAAGGCUUUUGGGUCGUAAACCUCUUUUAUUGGGGAAGAAGCACUGACGGUACCCAAUGAAUCAGCAUCGGCUA